Molecule: ribosomal RNA, 498 nt
Filed under: uncultured bacterium
Lineage: Bacteria
Description: partial 16S ribosomal RNA
Rfam family: Bacterial small subunit ribosomal RNA
Source: RNAcentral
AUUGAACGCUGGCGGCAUGCUUUACACAUGCAAGUCGAACGGUAACAGGCCGCAAGGUGCUGACGAGUGGCGAACGGGUGAGUAAUGCAUCGGAACGUGCCCAGUCGUGGGGGAUAACGCAGCGAAAGCUGUGCUAAUACCGCAUACGAUCUAUGGAUGAAAGCGGGGGACCGUAAGGCCUCGCGCGAUUGGAGCGGCCGAUGUCAGAUUAGGUAGUUGGUGGGGUAAAGGCUCACCAAGCCAACGAUCCGUAGCUGGUCUGAGAGGACGACCAGCAACACUGGGACUGAGACACGGCCCAGACUCCUACGGGAGGCAGCAGUGGGGAAUUUUGGACAAUGGGCGCAAGCCUGAUCCAGCAAUGCCGCGUGCAGGAAGAAGGCCUUCGGGUUGUAAACUGCUUUUGUACGGAACGAAAAGGUUUGGGUUAAUACCCUGGGCCGAUGACGGUACCGUAAGAAUAAGCACCGGCUAACUACGUGCCAGCCGCCGCAGUAA